UGGUGAGAAUUAAAAAUGAGC
RNAcentral lists this non-coding RNA (21 nucleotides) under Caenorhabditis elegans. The record is from RNAcentral. Lineage: Eukaryota; Metazoa; Nematoda; Chromadorea; Rhabditida; Rhabditidae.